AUCUACAGCCAUGCUACCCUGAAUGUGCCCGAUCUCAUCUGAUCCCAGAAGCUAAACAGGGUCGGGCCUGGUUGGUACUUGGGUGGGAGACCACCUAGGAAUAUCAGGUGCUGUAGGCA
RNAcentral lists this ribosomal RNA (119 nucleotides) under Pteropus alecto (black flying fox). The record is from RNAcentral. Lineage: Eukaryota; Metazoa; Chordata; Mammalia; Chiroptera; Pteropodidae.